ACGCUGGCGGCGUGCGUAAUACAUGCAAGUCGAACGAGUUCUCGUUGAUGAUCGGUGCUUGCACCGAGAUUCAACAUGGAACGAGUGGCGGACGGGUGAGUAACACGUGGGUAACCUGCCCUUAAGUGGGGGAUAACAUUUGGAAACAGAUGCUAAUACCGCAUAGAUCCAAGAACCGCAUGGUUCUUGGCUGAAAGAUGGCGUAAGCUAUCGCUUUUGGAUGGACCCGCGGCGUAUUAGCUAGUUGGUGAGGUAAUGGCUCACCAAGGCGAUGAUACGUAGCCGAACUGAGAGGUUGAUCGGCCACAUUGGGACUGAGACACGGCCCAAACUCCUACGGGAGGCAGCAGUAGGGAAUCUUCCACAAUGGACGCAAGUCUGAUGGAGCAACGCCGCGUGAGUGAAGAAGGCUUUCGGGUCGUAAAACUCUGUUGUUGGAGAAGAAUGGUCGGCAGAGUAACUGUUGUCGGCGUGACGGUAUCCAACCAGAAAGCCACGGCUAACUACGUGCCAGCAGCCGCGGUAAUACGUAGGUGGCAAGCGUUAUCCGGAUUUAUUGGGCGUAAAGCGAGCGCAGGCGGUUUUUUAAGUCUGAUGUGAAAGCCCUCGGCUUAACCGAGGAAGCGCAUCGGAAACUGGGAAACUUGAGUGCAGAAGAGGACAGUGGAACUCCAUGUGUAGCGGUGAAAUGCGUAGAUAUAUGGAAGAACACCAGUGGCGAAGGCGGCUGUCUGGUCUGUAACUGACGCUGAGGCUCGAAAGCAUGGGUAGCGAACAGGAUUAGAUACCCUGGUAGUCCAUGCCGUAAACGAUGAAUGCUAGGUGUUGGAGGGUUUCCGCCCUUCAGUGCCGCAGCUAACGCAUUAAGCAUCCGCC
RNAcentral lists this ribosomal RNA (876 nucleotides) under Lacticaseibacillus paracasei. RNAcentral's name for it is "bacterial SSU rRNA". It matches the Rfam family "Bacterial small subunit ribosomal RNA", at positions 33 to 873 of the family's 1533-position model. The record is from RNAcentral. Lineage: Bacteria; Bacillati; Bacillota; Bacilli; Lactobacillales; Lactobacillaceae.